GAUGAACGCUGGCGGCGUGCUUAACACAUGCAAGUCGAACGGAAAGGCCCAAGCUUGCUUGGGUACUCGAGUGGCGAACGGGUGAGUAACACGUGGGUGAUCUGCCCUGCACUUCGGGAUAAGCCUGGGAAACUGGGUCUAAUACCGGAUAGGACCACAUUUUGGAUGGUGUGGUGGAAAGAUUUUCGGUGUGGGAUGAGCUCGCGGCCUAUCAGCUUGUUGGUGGGGUAAUGGCCUACCAAGGCGUCGACGGGUAGCCGGCCUGAGAGGGUGUACGGCCACAUUGGGACUGAGAUACGGCCCAGACUCCUACGGGAGGCAGCAGUGGGGAAUAUUGCACAAUGGGCGCAAGCCUGAUGCAGCGACGCCGCGUGGGGGAUGACGGCCUUCGGGUUGUAAACUGCUUUCGCUAGGGACGAAGCGCGAGUGACGGUACCUGGAGAAGAAGCACCGGCUAACUACGUG
Molecule: ribosomal RNA, 465 nt
Filed under: uncultured bacterium
Lineage: Bacteria
Description: partial 16S ribosomal RNA
Rfam family: Bacterial small subunit ribosomal RNA
Source: RNAcentral